CUGUGAGACAGGUGCUGCAUGGCUGUCGUCAGCUCGUGUUGUGAAAUGUUGGGUUAAGUCCCGCAACGAGCGCAACCCUUAUCCUUUGUUGCCAGCGGUCCGGCCGGGAACUCAAAGGAGACUGCCAGUGAUAAACUGGAGGAAGGUGGGGAUGACGUCAAGUCAUCAUGGCCCUUACGACCAGGGCUACACACGUGCUACAAUGGCGCAUACAAAGAGAAGCGACCUCGCGAGAGCAAGCGGACCUCAUAAAGUGCGUCGUAGUCCGGAUUGGAGUCUGCAACUCGACUCCAUGAAGUCGGAAUCGCUAGUAAUCGUGGAUCAGAAUGCCACGGUGAAUACGUUCCCGGGCCUUGUACACACCGCCCGUCACACCAUGGGAGUGGGUUGCAAAAGAAGUAGGUAGCUUAACCUUCGGGAGGGCGCUUACCACUUUGUGAUUCAUGACUGGGGUGAAGUCGUAACAAGGUAACCGUAGGGGAACCUGCGGUUGGAUCACCUC
This 502-nucleotide ribosomal RNA is filed under the name uncultured bacterium. Its description in RNAcentral is "bacterial SSU rRNA". It matches the Rfam family "Bacterial small subunit ribosomal RNA", at positions 1027 to 1529 of the family's 1533-position model. The record is from RNAcentral.